GGAAAACCUGCUGAAUCUUCAGCUUCAGGAUAACAGCUUUUCAGCACUCAUAUAUUCUAGGACUAGCCAGGACCAGCUUCUGCUGGUGUCCAGACUCCUCUGACUGCUGCCCUAACCAGACCCUUGCAGUGGGGUAGAGCUCGGUGUCACUGAUCCUUCACAAGCGUCAGAAGGACUGUGCCAAGGUCGUGUGAGUCUCUCUCCCUGCCUCAAGGUAAGAUCAUCUCUACCUCUGUCAUUGCUGUACUAAUCUCUUUGUAAAGACCCUUGGGGAUACAGGUUGCUCAACCUCUUCCAGGACUUCUAACAAGAAUAAUUGUAACAAGCCUAUACAGUGUGUUGGGUUUUUUUGUUUACUUUUGUUCCUUGCCUCGAUUUUUGUUUUUGUUCUGUGGUGGUUAUAGCUGAGGAAAGAUUUUCCUUCACGUUUCUAGGAGGCUGUUUGAAAAUUGCUCUCAGAUCAGUGAGGACCAACUGGGAUGGCUGAGCUCCUCUGCAGUGCAUGUGACAGAUGUGUCAGCUCUGGGCUUACUCUCUCCAAAUGGUCCAUUUCUGUCUCAAAACACAGUGGCCAAAAGCAGAGCACCAGACUUAUGAUGAAAAUCAGCCUUUAAGCAUUUUGAGACCUGCCCUAAUCAGAGUUUUGAGUGGCACCACUCCAAAGUGUGCUGGAACUGCCUGAUUUGGAGGGAAGAGAGCAGAGAUGGGAAAGAACAGGUACAUCCAAUUGAGGUAAGGCGACUACCAAACACAGGGCAGCCAGACCAGAAACAUGCAGAUUAUGUAAGCACAGCUGGGCUAAAACUUGGCAAAACAGUCCUUCUCGUCUUGUAGACUAUCCUCAAGCAAAUGAUUUUCUGUGGACCCCACUGAGCUGUGAAGAAUUGUCUGAGCAGAA
Molecule: long non-coding RNA, 898 nt
Filed under: Taeniopygia guttata (zebra finch)
Lineage: Eukaryota; Metazoa; Chordata; Aves; Passeriformes; Estrildidae
Description: lncRNA (ENSTGUG00000022000.1)
Source: RNAcentral